GAUGAACGCUGGCGGCGUGCCUAAUACAUGCAAGUCGAGCGAACAGACGAGGAGCUUGCUCCUCUGACGUUAGCGGCGGACGGGUGAGUAACACGUGGAUAACCUACCUAUAAGACUGGGAUAACUUCGGGAAACCGGAGCUAAUACCGGAUAAUAUAUUGAACCGCAUGGUUCAAUAGUGAAAGACGGUUUUGCUGUCACUUAUAGAUGGAUCCGCGCUGCAUUAGCUAGUUGGUAAGGUAACGGCUUACCAAGGCAACGAUGCGUAGCCGACUUGAGAGGGUGAUCGGCCACACUGGAACUGAGACACGGUCCAGACUCCUACGGGAGGCAGCAGUAGGGAAUCUUCCGCAAUGGGCGAAAGCCUGACGGAGCAACGCCGCGUGAGUGAUGAAGGUCCUCGGAUCGUAAAACUCUGUUAUUAGGGAAGAACAAAUGUGUAAGUAACUAUGCACGUCUUGACGGUACCUAAUCAGAAAGCCACGGCUAACUACGUG
RNAcentral lists this ribosomal RNA (497 nucleotides) under uncultured bacterium. RNAcentral's name for it is "partial 16S ribosomal RNA". It matches the Rfam family "Bacterial small subunit ribosomal RNA", at positions 28 to 507 of the family's 1533-position model. The record is from RNAcentral.